GCAGACACAUUGCAGCCAAUCAGCAGCAGACCCUCCCUCCCAGACCCUCCCACCUCCUGGACAGCAUCCAUUUUACAUUCAUUAUGAAGCUGCAUUCUUAGUGAGCUGUCCAGGAGGUGGGAGGGUCUGGGAGGGAGGGUCUGCUGCUGAUUGGCUGGAAUGUGUCU
Molecule: microRNA precursor, 167 nt
Filed under: Pelobates cultripes (western spadefoot toad)
Lineage: Eukaryota; Metazoa; Chordata; Amphibia; Anura; Pelobatidae
Source: RNAcentral